GACGAACGCUGGCGGCGUGCUUAACACAUGCAAGUCGAGCGGUAAGGCCCUUUCGGGGGUACACGAGCGGCGAACGGGUGAGUAACACGUGGGUGACCUGCCCUCAGCUCUGGGAUAAGCCUGGGAAACCGGGUCUAAUACUGGAUAUGACUCCAUGACGCAUGUUGUGGGGUGGAAAGCCUUGUGCGGCUGAGGAUGGGCCCGCGGCCUAUCAGCUUGUUGGUGGGGUGANGGCCUACCAAGGCGACGACGGGUAGCCGGCCUGAGAGGGCGACCGGCCACACUGGGACUGAGACACGGCCCAGACCCCUACGGGAGGCAGCAGUGGGGAAUCUUGCGCAAUGGGCGAAAGCCUGACGCAGCGACGCCGCGUGAGGGAUGACGGCCUC
This 389-nucleotide ribosomal RNA is filed under the name uncultured bacterium. RNAcentral describes it as "bacterial SSU rRNA". It matches the Rfam family "Bacterial small subunit ribosomal RNA", at positions 28 to 418 of the family's 1533-position model. The record is from RNAcentral.